UCUAGAACUCGAGAUAUGGGCUGAACACUGAACAGUGUCUGGGCUGCAGGACAGAUUCUGACUUCUCCGUUGUUGCUAAGAUUUGGACUUCCAAACAGCAGAAUUGAGUCUUUCACUCCCCAUGAAUGUUUUAGGCCUAUGUCUUAGCUUUCUAGC
Populus trichocarpa (black cottonwood) is the source of this 156-nucleotide non-coding RNA. The record is from Rfam. NCBI's taxonomy places the organism in Eukaryota, Viridiplantae, Streptophyta, Magnoliopsida, Malpighiales, Salicaceae.